RNAcentral lists this ribosomal RNA (440 nucleotides) under uncultured bacterium. RNAcentral describes it as "bacterial SSU rRNA". It matches the Rfam family "Bacterial small subunit ribosomal RNA", at positions 338 to 775 of the family's 1533-position model. The record is from RNAcentral.
CCUACGGGGUGCAGCAGUGAGGAAUCUUGGUCAAUGGAGGCAACUCUGAUCCAGCCAUGCCGCGUGCAGGAAGAGAGCCCUAUGGGUUGUAAACUGCUUUUCUACGGGAGCAAUAAGGUUUACUAGUAGACUGAUGAGAGUACCGUAGGAAUAAGCAUCGGCUAACUCCGUGCCAGCAGCCGCGGUAAUACGGAGGAUGCGAGCGUUAUCCGGAUUUAUUGGGUUUAAAGGGUGCGUAGGCGGCUUUGUAAGUCAGCGGUGAAAUUUUGCAGCUUAACUGUAAGCGUGCCGUUGAUACUGUGAGGCUAGUAUUUGGUUGCUGUGAGUGGAAUGUGUGGUGUAGCGGUGAAAUGCGUAGAGAUCGGGAGGAACAUCAGUGGCGAAGGCGGGUAACUGGACUGUAACUGACGCUGAUGCGCGAAAGCGCGGGGAGCAAACAG